GAUGAACGCUGGCGGCGUGCUUAACACAUGCAAGUCGAACGGAAAGGCCCUGCGUUUGUGGGGUGCUCGAGUGGCGAACGGGUGAGUAACACGUGAGUAACCUGCCCUUGACUUUGGGAUAACUUCAGGAAACUGGGGCUAUUACCGGAUAGGAUCUCCUGCUGCAUGUGGGGGGUUGGAAAGUUUCGGCGGUUGGGGCUGGACUCGCGGGUUAUCAGCUUGUUGGGGUGGUAGUGACUUACCAAGGGUACGACGGGUAGCCGGCCUGAGAGGGUGACCGGCCACAUGGGGACUGAGAGACGGCCCAGACUCCUACGGGAGGCAGCGGGGGGGAAUAUUACACAGUGGGCGGAAGCCUGAUGCAGCAACGCCGCGUGCGGGAUGACGGCCUUCGGGUUGUAAACCGCUUUCGCCUGUGACGAAGCGUGAGUGACGGUAAUGGGUAAAGAAGCACCGGCUAACUACGUG
RNAcentral lists this ribosomal RNA (468 nucleotides) under uncultured bacterium. RNAcentral's name for it is "partial 16S ribosomal RNA". It matches the Rfam family "Bacterial small subunit ribosomal RNA", at positions 28 to 507 of the family's 1533-position model. The record is from RNAcentral.